Small nucleolar RNA from Puntigrus tetrazona (Sumatra barb), 122 nucleotides. RefSeq annotates it as small nucleolar RNA SNORA26. NCBI's taxonomy places the organism in Eukaryota, Metazoa, Chordata, Actinopteri, Cypriniformes, Cyprinidae. The transcript has a single exon. The record is from RefSeq and is a predicted model, not a curated record.
UUGCACAUUCAAGUCCCGUUAUGUCUUGAAUGAUCGACUGUUAGGGGAAAAUUAAAUCUCUUAAAAACCUGAAGUAUUGGUUUUAAAAUUCCUUGCUUCGGAACCUGUUGGGAGAAACAACU